ACCCGCUGAACUUAAGCAUAUCAAUAAGCGGAGGAAAAGAAACCAACAGGGAUUGCCUCAGUAACGGCGAGUGAAGCGGCAACAGCUCAAAUUUGAAAUCGGCCACCAGGUCGAGUUGUAAUUUGUAGAUUGUAUCUUGAGAGCGGAUUAAAGUCUGUUGGAACACAGCGCCUUAGAGGAUGACAGCCCCGUAAAAUCUAUUCUCAUUGUAAGAUACUUUCGAAGAGUCGAGUUGUUUGGGAAUGCAGCUCUAAGUGGGAGGUAAAUUCCUUCUAAAGCUAAAUAUUGACGAGAGACCGAUAGCGAACAAGUACUGUGAAGGAAAGAUGAAAAGCACUUUGAAAAGAGAGUGAAAAAGUACGUGAAAUUGUUAAAAGGGAAGGGUAUUGAAUCAGACUUGGUGCUGUUGUUCAACUGUGUUUUGGCACAGUGUACUCAGCAGUACUAGGCCAAGGUGGGGUGUUUGGGAGUGAAAAAGAAGUUGGAACGUAACUCUUCGGAGUGUUAUAGCCUACUUUCAUAGCUCCUCAGGCGCCUCAGGACUGCGCUUCGGCAAGGACCUUGGCAUAAUGAUUCUAUACCGCCCGUCUUGGAACACGGACCAAGGAG
Molecule: ribosomal RNA, 609 nt
Filed under: uncultured fungus
Lineage: Eukaryota; Fungi
Description: eukaryotic LSU rRNA
Rfam family: Eukaryotic large subunit ribosomal RNA
Source: RNAcentral